This 1078-nucleotide long non-coding RNA is filed under the name Mytilus galloprovincialis (Mediterranean mussel). Lineage: Eukaryota; Metazoa; Mollusca; Bivalvia; Mytilida; Mytilidae. The record is from RNAcentral.
UAAAUAAUUUAAUAUUAAAAUCAAAUGACUCAAUCGUCAAAAUCAAUGAAUAGAUUUACUUACAAUGACAAAAUCUUAAAUUUUGUGAUACUUUUGGUCACACGUACAACCUCUAUACUAUAUACUGUAUGUUCAUAAAUCACACUUAAACGUCACACUUUUAGAUAUUACAAUUUUUGAACCAUUUGUGACUAGUGUAAUUAUCACUUGAUUUUCUCUUUACAUAUUUUUAAAAGUUCAUCCAACUCUUACAUACAUGUAUAACUGUUAACUCUGAACAAUAGAGUUAUAAUAUACAAUACCAGGUACUAAAUUAUUAUAACAUUAAGAAUAUUACAUAAUACAAUUUAAUUGGUAAUUGAUAUUAAUGUGUAGAUUUGACUUCAGAAAACAGAGACACAAAAUUGUAAGUUUCAAGUAGUGCUCUUAAGAGAUAUGUUGUUUUUUUUUUUACAUUCCUUACAGUUACUUGGUCUGGAAAGAGCAUUGUAUGGUUAAUGUCCUCACGUAAGAAGUAAUCCUACACAAUACAAAAAAAUCCCCCUUCAAUUUCGACAUUAUCUUGACUUCACACAUGGGUGAAUUACUAUUAACCUAUUAAAGAUCCAGAUUAUUCAAUACAUAAAAUUUUCAUGGGAUGUUUAUUUACAAAUGAUGAUAGCACUAUUUAUAUCUUUACAUAUAAAAUCAGUAAAAAAGUAAGAUUAUAUCUGCAAGAUAAAAAAUGAUUUUAUACACAAAUGAUCAUUAUGGCUUUCUGAUAUAUCAACUUCUAACUUAUUUUAACUUCCAGACACAAAUAAUUUGUCAGGUUAUAAGAGGGUACUUAAUUUUCAGCUUGGAUAGGAUAUUUAAUAAAAAUGCUAUUAUAAAUUUAUGAUACAUUUAUCAAAUUUUUGCUAACAUUUAAUAAAUUAUUUUGCUCCCAGUUUUCAAUUGAAAAAAAAGAGAAGAUAAUACAAAUAUUUUCAGAAUUGUGAAUAUGUCUUAUACCUUUACUCAUUAAAAUCUAAUGAUAUUAUAGCACCGCUACAGGUAUUACAACUGAUGCAUAUAAGUAAUAAUUUAAUUUUAGAUG